UUGGGAAUCUUGGACAAUGGGGGAAACCCUGAUCCAGCCAUGCCGCGUGAGUGAUGAAGGCCUUAGGGUUGUAAAGCUCUUUUGUCAGGGACGAUAAUGACGGUACCUGAAGAAUAAGCUCCGGCUAACUUCGUGCCAGCAGCCGCGGUAAUACGAAGGGGGCUAGCGUUGUUCGGAAUUACUGGGCGUAAAGCGUGCGCAGGCUGCCAUUUAAGUCAGGGGUGAAAGCCCAGAGCUCAACUCUGGAAUUGCCUUUGAAACUAUUUGGCUUGAGUGCGGGAGAGGUGAGUGGAAUUCCCAGUGUAGAGGUGAAAUUCGUAGAUAUUGGGAAGAACACCGGUGGCGAAGGCGGCUCACUGGCCCGUUUCUGACGCUCAUGCACGAUAGCGUGGGGAUCAAACA
Molecule: ribosomal RNA, 402 nt
Filed under: uncultured Rhizomicrobium sp.
Lineage: Bacteria; Pseudomonadati; Pseudomonadota; Alphaproteobacteria; Micropepsales; Micropepsaceae
Description: partial 16S ribosomal RNA
Rfam family: Bacterial small subunit ribosomal RNA
Source: RNAcentral